GCUUUAAAAUAAACUUGAAGUGAUACCUGCCCAGUGGUAUUUAAUUAACAAUAAUAAAUUUGUUUUUGAAUAAUACUAAACGGACGCGGUAACCUGACCGUGGUAAUGUAGCAUAAUCAAUCGCCAUUUAAUUGAUGGAUAGUAUGAAUGGUUUAACGAGUACUUCACUGUCUUAGAAAAAAAUCUUGUGAAAUUGAAAUGGUAGUUAAGAUGCUACUUAGAAUUGUAAGACGAAAAGACCCUAUAGAGCUUAACUAAAUUCUUUCAUAGAAUACUCAAAAAUAAUUUUGCUUAUAAGAAAGAAAGUUAGUUUGGUUGGGGCGACCGCCUUUUAUAUAAAACAAAGGUAAACAAAGUUAAUAAAGUAAACUUAUUGUAUAAUCAAUUAAUUUAACAAUUACAAAAGUAGGUUAUAGUGACCCGUUAUGAAUUAUAAAAGAUUAUAACGAUUAAUAAAUAAAAGCUACCUUAGGGAUAACAGGAUAAUUUAAGCUUAGAGAUCUUAUCGAAGCUAAAGUUUGUCACCUCUAUGUUGAAUUGAGAUAUCCUAAUAAUGCAGAAGUUAUUAAAGGUGGGUCUGUUCGACCUUUAAAAUCUU
This 598-nucleotide ribosomal RNA is filed under the name Rhizophysa filiformis. RNAcentral describes it as "partial 16S ribosomal RNA". It matches the Rfam family "Bacterial large subunit ribosomal RNA", at positions 1816 to 2597 of the family's 2925-position model. Lineage: Eukaryota; Metazoa; Cnidaria; Hydrozoa; Siphonophorae; Rhizophysidae. The record is from RNAcentral.